GUUCGCAAUAACAAACAUACCCAUAUUAGGUGCAUCUGUAACAAGGCACAUACCCUUUUUUAGUGGAUUUACAAUAACGCACGUACCUUUUGAGACUGAUUCGUAAUAACGUACAUACCUAUUUUAGACGGAUUCGUAAUAACGCACAUACCCAUUUUGACCGGAUUCGUAAUAACGCAUGUACCUAUUUUGACAAAUCAACGCAAUCACCAUUUUAGCCAAUUCGUAGAACCAUAUACGCGCCAAUUUAGCUGAAUUUUAUAACGCACUUACCUAGGAACGGAAUCAGGAUUGGAAAAUAGGGUAGGCUAAUUUUCUCUGUGUUCUAUGUAUUGCAUGAAGCCCUAAAUUUUUUUUUUUUGGGUCUCCUAAAACUUCCAC
Molecule: long non-coding RNA, 381 nt
Filed under: Fragaria vesca (wild strawberry)
Lineage: Eukaryota; Viridiplantae; Streptophyta; Magnoliopsida; Rosales; Rosaceae
Description: long non-coding RNA (FVES_LNC002087)
Source: RNAcentral